AGAGGUUGAUUUUGGCUCAGGAUGAACGCUAGCUACAGGCUUAACACAUGCAAGUCGAGGGGCAUCAGUUUGGUUUGCUUGCAAACCAAAGCUGGCGACCGGCGCACGGGUGAGUAACACGUAUCCAACCUGCCUCAUACUCGGGGAUAGCCUUUCGAAAGAAAGAUUAAUAUCCGAUAGCAUAUAUUUCCCGCAUGGGUUUUAUAUUAAAGAAAUUCGGUAUGAGAUGGGGAUGCGUUCCAUUAGUUUGUUGGGGGGGUAACGGCCCACCAAGACUACGAUGGAUAGGGGUUCUGAGAGGAAGGUCCCCCACAUUGGAACUGAGACACGGUCCAAACUCCUACGGGAGGCAGCAGUGAGGAAUAUUGGUCAAUGGACGCGAGUCUGAACCAGCCAAGUAGCGUGAAGGAUGACUGCCCUAUGGGUUGUAAACUUCUUUUAUAUGGGAAUAAAGUGGUCCACGUGUGGACUUUUGUAUGUACCAUAUGAAUAAGGAUCGGCUAACUCCGUGCCAGCAGCCGCGGUAAUACGGAGGAUCCGAGCGUUAUCCGGAUUUAUUGGGUUUAAAGGGAGCGUAGGCGGAUUGUUAAGUCAGUUGUGAAAGUUUGCGGCUCAACCGUAAAAUUGCAGUUGAUACUGGCAGUCUUGAGUGCAGUAGAGGUGGGCGGAAUUCGUGGUGUAGCGGUGAAAUGCUUAGAUAUCACGAAGAACUCCGAUUGCGAAGGCAGCUCACUGGAGUGUAACUGACGCUGAUGCUCGAAAGUGUGGGUAUCAAACAGGAUUAGAUACCCUGGUAGUCCACACAGUAAAC
This 811-nucleotide ribosomal RNA is filed under the name uncultured bacterium. RNAcentral describes it as "bacterial SSU rRNA". It matches the Rfam family "Bacterial small subunit ribosomal RNA", at positions 8 to 807 of the family's 1533-position model. The record is from RNAcentral.